AGCUUUCUCAAUCCGUGCUGAGAUUUCGUCAGACACCAACACUUUUGGGCUGAUCAGACUCGCAACAUAAGGGAAGUU
Molecule: microRNA precursor, 78 nt
Filed under: Schistosoma curassoni
Lineage: Eukaryota; Metazoa; Platyhelminthes; Trematoda; Strigeidida; Schistosomatidae
Description: mir-3492 microRNA precursor family
Rfam family: mir-3492 microRNA precursor family
Source: Rfam by way of RNAcentral